UGGUUGAUCCUGCCAGUAGUC
Molecule: ribosomal RNA, 21 nt
Filed under: Itea ilicifolia
Lineage: Eukaryota; Viridiplantae; Streptophyta; Magnoliopsida; Saxifragales; Iteaceae
Description: partial 18S ribosomal RNA
Source: RNAcentral